This 257-nucleotide ribosomal RNA is filed under the name uncultured bacterium. RNAcentral describes it as "partial 16S ribosomal RNA". It matches the Rfam family "Bacterial small subunit ribosomal RNA", at positions 524 to 777 of the family's 1533-position model. The record is from RNAcentral.
UACGUAGGCAGCGAGCGUUGUUCGGAAUUACUGGGCGUAAAGAGUGUGUAGGCGGUGCUCUAAGUUCGGUGUGAAAUCUCCCGGCUUAACUGGGAGGGUGCGCCGGAAACUGGAGUGCUCGAACGUGGGAGAGGAAAGCGGAAUUCCCGGUGUAGCGGUGAAAUGCGUAGAUAUCGCUUGGAACGCCAACGGUGAAAACAGGUUGCUGGGGUUGUGGCCGACGCUGAGACACGAAAGCCAGGGGGAGCCAAACGGGG